Molecule: unclassified non-coding RNA, 372 nt
Filed under: soil metagenome
Description: partial contains 5.8S ribosomal RNA, internal transcribed spacer 2, and large subunit ribosomal RNA
Rfam family: 5.8S ribosomal RNA (bases 1-120)
Source: RNAcentral
GAUGAAGAACGCAGCGAAAUGCGAUAAGUAGUGUGAAUUGCAGAAUUCAGUGAAUCAUCGAAUCUUUGAACGCACAUUGCGCCCGGCAGCAAUCUGCCGGGCAUGCCUGUCCGAGCGUCAUUUCUUCCCUCGAGCGCGGCUAGCCCUACGGGGCCUGCCGUCGCCCGGUGUUGGGGCUCUACGGGUGGGGCUCGUCCCCCCCGCAGUCCCCGAAAUGUAGUGGCGGUCCAGCCGCGGCGCCCCCUGCGUAGUAGAUCCUACAUCUCGCAUCGGGUCCCGGCGAAGGCCAGCCGUCGAACCUUUUAUUUCAUGGUUUGACCUCGGAUCAGGUAGGGUUACCCGCUGAACUUAAGCAUAUCAAUAAGCGGAGGA